RNAcentral lists this ribosomal RNA (440 nucleotides) under uncultured bacterium. RNAcentral's name for it is "partial 16S ribosomal RNA". It matches the Rfam family "Bacterial small subunit ribosomal RNA", at positions 338 to 795 of the family's 1533-position model. The record is from RNAcentral.
CCUACGGGUGGCUUCAGUGGGGAAUAUUGCACAAUGGGGGAAACCCUGAUGCAGCGACGCCGCGUGAGUGAAGAAGUAUUUCGGUAUGUAAAGCUCUAUCAGCAGGGAAGAAAAUGACGGUACCUGACUAAGAAGCCCCGGCUAACUACGUGCCAGCAGCCGCGGUAAUACGUAGGGGGCACGCGUUAGCCGGAUUUACUGGGUGUAAAGGGAGCGUAGACGGUGAUGCAAGUCAGAAGGGAAAGCCCGGGGCUCAACUCCGGUACUGCUUUUGAAACUGGGUGACUGGAGUGCAGGAGAGGUAGGCGGAAUUCCUGGUGUAGCGGUGAAAUGCGUAGAUAUCAGGCGGAACACCAGUGGCGAAGGCAGCUUACUGGACUGUAACUGACGUUGAGGCUCGAAAGCGUGGGGAGCGAACAGGAUUAGAUACCCUUGUAGUC